RNAcentral lists this transfer RNA (77 nucleotides) under Spiroplasma endosymbiont of Heliconius melpomene. Its description in RNAcentral is "tRNA-Met". It matches the Rfam family "tRNA". Rfam says of the family: Transfer RNA (tRNA) molecules are approximately 80 nucleotides in length. Their secondary structure includes four short double-helical elements and three loops (D, anti-codon, and T loops). Further hydrogen bonds mediate the characteristic L-shaped molecular structure. tRNAs have two regions of fundamental functional importance: the anti-codon, which is responsible for specific mRNA codon recognition, and the 3' end, to which the tRNAs corresponding amino acid is attached (by aminoacyl-tRNA synthetases). tRNAs cope with the degeneracy of the genetic code in two manners: having more than one tRNA (with a specific anti-codon) for a particular amino acid; and 'wobble' base-pairing, i.e. permitting non-standard base-pairing at the 3rd anti-codon position. The record is from RNAcentral. Lineage: Bacteria; Bacillati; Mycoplasmatota; Mollicutes; Entomoplasmatales; Spiroplasmataceae.
GGACCUUUAGCUCAGUUGGUUAGAGCAUCCGGCUCAUAACCAGAUGGUCAUUGGUUUGAGUCCAAUAAGGUCCACCA